This is a long non-coding RNA of Suricata suricatta (meerkat), 295 nucleotides long. RefSeq lists it as uncharacterized. The transcript has 3 exons. NCBI's taxonomy places the organism in Eukaryota, Metazoa, Chordata, Mammalia, Carnivora, Herpestidae. The record is from RefSeq and is a predicted model, not a curated record.
CUCAUCAUCUUUUAAAUACCCAUGGCUUCAUCCAGUCAUAGCAUCAGUUACGAAGCUCAUGAUCUGAUAAACAGAAUCAGCUCUGGAUAUGGUCUGUUUGGACAGCUACCAUAAACAUGGCUUGAUCAGCUCAAUAUUCUGCAUAAAUAUAAAAGAAACCAGAAGUUCUCUGGCUAUAGCUGUUUCCUGAGGAGAAGAAUUCAUGCCAAGUUUCUGUGGCAGAGAUAUCAGAGAAUACAGCUGAGAGACUGACCCAGCCAACACUGCAUAGAGCAGAAGUACUGCCUGGCAAGCU